CUCAUGGUUGUUCAAAGAUCAAUGAUAAUUCCCAAGGUGGUGGUGCUCUUCGUUAUGCACUCCAUCUACGUUUUCUUUGCCCUUCACCUAAAAAGUGUUCUAGGUCAGUUCAGAGGUGUAAAUCUGAUCCUACAACCGUACCACAAAAGCCACAAUUAGAUGUGGAAGGGGGGCGCAGGUUUUAUUUAUACAAUGACUUGCGAGUUGUGUUCCCUCAACGACAUUCAGAU
RNAcentral lists this unclassified non-coding RNA (230 nucleotides) under Hevea brasiliensis (rubber tree). The record is from RNAcentral. Lineage: Eukaryota; Viridiplantae; Streptophyta; Magnoliopsida; Malpighiales; Euphorbiaceae.